ACGAGAGGACAUGGGAAGCUUGCUUCCUAUGAAAUCGAGUGGCAAACGGGUGAGUAACGCGUAAACAACCUGCCCUUCGGAUGGGGAUAACAGCCGGAAACGGCUGCUAAUACCGAAUACGAUCUUUUCGUCGCAUGACGAAAAGAAGAAAGGAUGGCCUCUAUACAAAGCUAUCGCCGAAGGAGGGGUUUGCGUCUGAUUAGCUGGUUGGAGGGGUAACGGCCCAACAAGGCGAUGAUCAGUAGCCGGUCUGAGAGGAUGAACGGCCACAUUGGGACUGAGACACGGCCCAGACUCCUACGGGAGGCAGCAGUGGGGAAUCUUCCGCAAUGGACGAAAGUCUGACGGAGCAACGCCGCGUGAGUGAAGAAGGUCUUCGGAUUGUAAAGCUCUGUUAUACGGGACGAAAAAGACGGAUGCCAACAGUAUCCGUCCGUGACGGUACCGUAAGAGAAAGCCACGGCUAACUACGUGCCAGCAGCCGCGGUAAUACGUAGGUGGCAAGCGUUGUCCGGAAUUAUUGGGCGUAAAGGGCGCGCAGGCGGUUCGGUAAGUCUGUCUUAAAAGUGCGGGGCUUAACCCCGUGAGGGGACGGAAACUGUCGAACUUGAGUGUCGGAGAGGAAAGCGGAAUUCCUAGUGUAGCGGUGAAAUGCGUAGAUAUUAGGAGGAACACCGGUGGCGAAAGCGGCUUUCUGGACGACAACUGACGCUGAUGCGCGAAAAGCGUGGGGAGCAA
RNAcentral lists this ribosomal RNA (738 nucleotides) under uncultured bacterium. Its description in RNAcentral is "bacterial SSU rRNA". It matches the Rfam family "Bacterial small subunit ribosomal RNA", at positions 66 to 771 of the family's 1533-position model. The record is from RNAcentral.